GACGAAGGUGGCAAGCGUUGUUCGGAUUCACUGGGCAUAAAGGGCGCGUAGGCGGUUCCGAAAGUGGCAUGUGAAAUCCCCCGGCUCAACCGGGGAAGUGCGUGCCAAACUUCGGUGCUAGAGGGCGGUAGGGGGGGACUGGAACUCUCGGUGGAGCGGUGAAAUGCGUAGAUAUCGAGAGGAACACCGGUGGCGAAGGCGAGUCCCUGGUCCGCUUCUGACGCUGAGGCGCGAAAGCGUGGGUAGCAAACAGG
RNAcentral lists this ribosomal RNA (254 nucleotides) under uncultured bacterium. RNAcentral describes it as "partial 16S ribosomal RNA". It matches the Rfam family "Bacterial small subunit ribosomal RNA", at positions 524 to 776 of the family's 1533-position model. The record is from RNAcentral.